Molecule: ribosomal RNA, 253 nt
Filed under: uncultured bacterium
Lineage: Bacteria
Description: partial 16S ribosomal RNA
Rfam family: Bacterial small subunit ribosomal RNA
Source: RNAcentral
UACGUAGGUGGCGAGCGUUGUCCGGAUUUACUGGGCGUAAAGGGCGUGCAGGCGGUUUGUUAAGUGCAGGGUGAAAGCUCCCGGCUCAACUGGGAGAGGUCCUUGCAUACUGGCGAACUCGAGGGAGGCAGAGGAAAGUGGAAUUCCCGGUGUAGUGGUGAUAUGCGUAGAUAUCGAGAGGAACACCUGCGGCGAAGGCGGGUUGCUGGGCUGAUACUGACGCUGAGGCGCGAAAGCCAGGGGAGCGAACGGG